Coturnix japonica (Japanese quail) is the source of this 691-nucleotide non-coding RNA. Lineage: Eukaryota; Metazoa; Chordata; Aves; Galliformes; Phasianidae. The record is from RefSeq and is a predicted model, not a curated record.
GCGGAGAGGCUGCUGGACGGCGGGCGGGGCUGGGGAGGAAGGGGAGGCAGCGACGAUGCGGAGCUGCGGUUGAGCCCCUCCUGCGGACGGAGGGGAGCGGGCAAUAUGCGGCCGGGCUCGUAGGGCACCUGCUGAGCUCUCACCCAGCAAAGUUUCCCAGGGUUUGGGGAGAAGGAGGAAGGCGAUAUGGGAGAACCUGCUGCCCCCAUCCCGGCCCCGCCGGGACCCGCUGUGGCUUCGGUGCUGCUGUCUGAAGGCUGAACGGGACCCCCGAGGAACCUCCAGACUCUCCCCCAGCUUAGGAGGAGCCGCAUCCUUCAGCAUUGCCCAUCCCUGUCAGCUCCAGGUGAUGUCUCACUGAGCAGGAACUUCACUUGAAAGUUCACUGCUGUGCUUCUAUUCAGCUUCAAACAAAAGCCUGAGCAGGGGCAAUGAGAUACAACACUGGAGACAGCAGCAGAGAGCUCGGCCUCAGCUGGAGGGAUUUCAAAGGAGCAGAAGACCAGAAAUAGCCUUCUCAGCAUUGUAUGUACCCUGUAAGGACUGAAGUGACCUCCAAGACUCACCUCAACAUGUUCAGUGAAAAGAGCAGCGCCUCUCUGACCCAGAAACCCAGCCAGAAAAAGACACGACCUCAGGGCCUCCCCUCCCCUGCCCUCUGCUGUGCGUGUGGACUUUGCAUCAUGCUGGC